CCUACGUGAGGCAGCAGUGAGGAAUAUUGGUCAAUGGGCGCGAGCCUGAACCAGCCAAGUAGCGUGAAGGAUGACAGCCCUACGGGUUGUAAACUUCUUUUAUAAAGGAAUAAAGUGAGGCACGUGUGCCUUUUUGUGUGUACUUUAUGAAUAAGGAUCGGCUAACUCCGUGCCAGCAGCCGCGGUAAUACGGAGGAUCCGAGCGUUAUCCGGUUUUAUUGGGUUUAAAGGGAGCGUAGAUGGGUUGUUAAGUCAGUUGUGACAGUUGGCGGCUCAACCGUAGAAUUGCAAUUGAUACUGGCAGCCAUUGGUACAGUUGAGGGAGGCGGGAGUCGUGGUGUAGCG
RNAcentral lists this ribosomal RNA (345 nucleotides) under uncultured bacterium. RNAcentral's name for it is "partial 16S ribosomal RNA". It matches the Rfam family "Bacterial small subunit ribosomal RNA", at positions 338 to 680 of the family's 1533-position model. The record is from RNAcentral.